This is a long non-coding RNA of Neofelis nebulosa (Clouded leopard), 1226 nucleotides long. RefSeq lists it as uncharacterized. NCBI's taxonomy places the organism in Eukaryota, Metazoa, Chordata, Mammalia, Carnivora, Felidae. The transcript is spliced from 3 exons. The record is from RefSeq and is a predicted model, not a curated record.
UCUACCUAGGGGUGGUGUGAGGUGAAAGGGACAAGCCUCUGCUGGGCUCGAUACAGGGGUUGAGGCUCGACCUGGGUAUUGAAAGAUGGUCACAUGUUUCCCCACGUAAACGGGCCCAGAGAGCAAGCGUGCGAAGGCCCAAAGGGACCAACCAGUAUGGAGUGUUCGGGGAAUGGCGAGGAGCUUCUGUAUGGCCGGGCCAGGGGGAAGUCUGAAAGGGGAGGCAGGCACUGUAAAAGACAGGACCGGUAGGGCUGCAAAGGCUAGAUCCCCAAACGUCUUAUGGGUUCGGCCAAGGAGUCUGGUCCAGAAUAGAAAUUCCUGGAUAUAGCCACCAGCAACCUGUUUCAGCAUCCUUCCUAUUUCACAGCGGAGGCUGUGAACUCCCCAAAGAACCGGACCCAGGAGCGUUUGCUCCCCGGCAAAAAUAGAACACCUCCCACCCCCCACCCCCCCAAUGAAAGCAAAAGGCUCCUAUUGUGUGGAGGCAUUCAGAGGAAGCAGGUGGAAUUUCAUCUGGAGUGAAACUCCUCCAUUGAAACAAACACCUCAUUGCCAAAUCCCAAAAGAGCACAGCAUAGGAGGUCGUUGCUGUCUGUAGGCCUCUUACCGCAGGCUCCUUGUCUGUGUCUAUAAAACACUGCCAUUGUAGAUGCUGAGAGUCAUUUUUAGAGCCAUUAUAGCAGGGGACCCAUCCUGCCAUUCACCUCUUCUCUUCAGGGGAUUCCAGAAAAAGAGAACAGAAUCCCUUCCUGCCCGGCCUUUGAGACUCUUGUUCGGGGACCUGCUCCACAGAUCCCAUUGUCUCUGUGCUCCAAAACAAUAAAGAAAUGGAUUUUUGCAAAUCAUUUCUGGAACCUGAUUGUUUUGACACAGUGAACUUAAGCUUUUGACCAAAGCAGAUUUCUCUGCCACUUUGGUCAUUUCAACAUGAAAUGACUCCAUUCAGCAACAGUGUGUGAGAUACCACGCAAAAUCACCGCAAUCCCCAUUGACUGUUGGGAAAUGAGGAAGAAAACAGAGGCUGCUCAAAAUGGAACAGAAACUCUAUUUAAAACAAUUUUCUGAAAAUCAGUGAUUGCAGAGGCUCUGAGCCAGGACAGCUGGGAGCAAGCCAUCAGAUCCCCCUUUUAAGGCGCAGCUCCCUAUUGCUGUCAGCAGACCACAUAUUUCUUAGCAUCUCUGAAGAAAUGUUAAAUCAAUAAACUACCUAGAGAUUGCUGACA